AUGCGCAAAAUCCCGCAAGGGAUGUAUUUAUUAGAUCCAAAACCAAUGCAGCUUCGGCUGGUUGUUGGUGAAUCAUAAUAACUGCUCGGACCGCAUGGACUUGUUCCGGCGGUAGGUCAUUCAAAUUUCUGCCCCAUCAGCUUUCGAUUGUAGUGUAGUGGACUACAAUGGCGGUAACGGGUGACGGAGAAUUAGGGUUCGAUUCCGGAGAGGGAGCCUGAGAAAUGGCUACCACAUCUAAGGAAGGCAGCAGGCGCGCAAAUUACCCAAUUCUCAAUGAGAGAGGUAGUGAAGAUAAAUAACAACACUGGUCCACAACGUGGUCUGGUGAUUGGAAUGAGAACAAUUUAAAUCCCUUAGCGAGGAUCCAUUGGAGGGCAAGUCUGGUGCCAGCAGCCGCGGUAAAACCAGCUCCAAUAGCGUAUAUUAAAGUUGUUGCAGUUAAAAAGCUCGUAGUUGGAUAUCUGGUACGAAUGCCUGGCCCGCCUCUCACGAGUGUGUGUGCCGGUGCAAUCGUGCCAUCCUUCUGAGAAGUGCUACUGCGAUUAAGUUCGCGGAAGUGCGACUCGGAUCUUUUACUUUGAAAAAAUUAGAGUGUUCAAAGCAGGCGUUUGCUUGAAUACAUUAGCAUGGAAUAAUAAAAUAGGACUCCGUUCCUAUUUUGUUGGCUUAUAGGUCGGAGUAAUGAUUAAAAGGGACAGUUGGGGGUGCUUGUAUUGAGCGGCCAGAGGUGAAAUUCUUAGAUUCGCUCAAGACAAACUUAUGCGAAAGCAUUCACCAAGGAUGUCUUCUUUAAUCAAGAACGAAAGUUGGGGGAUCGAAGACGAUCAGAUACCGUCGUAGUCUCAACCAUAAACUAUGCCAACUAAGGAUCAGCGGACGUUUUCGGACUCCGUUGGCACUUUAUGAGAAAUCAAAGUCAUUGGGUUCUGGGGGGAGUCUGGUCGCAAGGCUGAAACUUAAAGGAAUUGACGGAAGGGCACCACAACGGCGUGGAGCCUGCGGCUUAAUUUGACACAACACGGGGAAAUUUACCAGGUCCGGACAUAGUAAGGAUUGACAGAUUGCAGAUCUUUCUUGAUUCUAUGGAUGGUGGUGCAUGGCCGUUCUAGUUGGUGGAGUGAUUUGUCUGGUUAAUUCCGUUAACGAACGAGACCUCAGCCUACUAAAUAGUCAGGAUAACAG
RNAcentral lists this ribosomal RNA (1185 nucleotides) under metagenome. RNAcentral describes it as "SSU rRNA". It matches the Rfam family "Eukaryotic small subunit ribosomal RNA", at positions 171 to 1370 of the family's 1831-position model. The record is from RNAcentral.